AGCGUACACGGUGGAUGCCCUGGCAGUCAGAGGCGAUGAAGGACGUGCUAAUCUGCGAUAAGCGUCGGUGAGGUGAUAUGAACCGUUAUAACCGGCGAUUUCCGAAUGGGGAAACCCAGUGUGAUUCGUCACACUAUCAUUAACUGAAUCCAUAGGUUAAUGAGGCGAACCGGGGGAACUGAAACAUCUAAGUACCCCGAGGAAAAGAAAUCAACCGAGAUUCCCCCAGUAGCGGCGAGCGAACGGGGAGCAGCCCAGAGCCUGAAUCAGUGUGUGUGUUAGUGGAAGCGUCUGGAAAGGCGCGCGAUACAGGGUGACAGCCCCGUACACAAAAAUGCACAUGCUGUGAGCUCGAUGAGUAGGGCGGGACACGUGGUAUCCUGUCUGAAUAUGGGGGGACCAUCCUCCAAGGCUAAAUACUCCUGACUGACCGAUAGUGAACCAGUACCGUGAGGGAAAGGCGAAAAGAACCCCGGCGAGGGGAGUGAAAAAGAACCUGAAACCGUGUACGUACAAGCAGUGGGAGCACAGAGCAAUCUGUGUGACUGCGUACCUUUUGUAUAAUGGGUCAGCGACUUAUAUUCUGUAGCAAGGUUAACCGAAUAGGGGAGCCGAAGGGAAACCGAGUCUUAACUGGGCGUUAAGUUGCAGGGUAUAGACCCGAAACCCGGUGAUCUAGCCAUGGGCAGGUUGAAGGUUGGGUAACACUAACUGGAGGACCGAACCGACUAAUGUUGAAAAAUUAGCGGAUGACUUGUGGCUGGGGGUGAAAGGCCAAUCAAACCGGGAGAUAGCUGGUUCUCCCCGAAAGCUAUUUAGGUAGCGCCUCGUGAAUUCAUCUCCGGGGGUAGAGCACUGUUUCGGCAAGGGGGUCAUCCCGACUUACCAACCCGAUGCAAACUGCGAAUACCGGAGAAUGUUAUCACGGGAGACACACGGCGGGUGCUAACGUCCGUCGUGAAGAGGGAAACAACCCAGACCGCCAGCUAAGGUCCCAAAGUCAUGGUUAAGUGGGAAACGAUGUGGGAAGGCCCAGACAGCCAGGAUGUUGGCUUAGAAGCAGCCAUCAUUUAAAGAAAGCGUAAUAGCUCACUGGUCGAGUCGGCCUGCGCGGAAGAUGUAACGGGGCUAAACCAUGCACCGAAGCUGCGGCAGCGACGCUUAUGCGUUGUUGGGUAGGGGAGCGUUCUGUAAGCCUGUGAAGGUGUGCUGUGAGGCAUGCUGGAGGUAUCAGAAGUGCGAAUGCUGACAUAAGUAACGAUAAAGCGGGUGAAAAGCCCGCUCGCCGGAAGACCAAGGGUUCCUGUCCAACGUUAAUCGGGGCAGGGUGAGUCGACCCCUAAGGCGAGGCCGAAAGGCGUAGUCGAUGGGAAACAGGUUAAUAUUCCUGUACUUGGUGUUACUGCGAAGGGGGGACGGAGAAGGCUAUGUUGGCCGGGCGACGGUUGUCCCGGUUUAAGCGUGUAGGCUGGUUUUCCAGGCAAAUCCGGAAAAUCAAGGCUGAGGCGUGAUGACGAGGCACUACGGUGCUGAAGCAACAAAUGCCCUGCUUCCAGGAAAAGCCUCUAAGCAUCAGGUAACAUCAAAUCGUACCCCAAACCGACACAGGUGGUCAGGUAGAGAAUACCAAGGCGCUUGAGAGAACUCGGGUGAAGGAACUAGGCAAAAUGGUGCCGUAACUUCGGGAGAAGGCACGCUGAUAUGUAGGUGAAGUCCCUCGCGGAUGGAGCUGAAAUCAGUCGAAGAUACCAGCUGGCUGCAACUGUUUAUUAAAAACACAGCACUGUGCAAACACGAAAGUGGACGUAUACGGUGUGACGCCUGCCCGGUGCCGGAAGGUUAAUUGAUGGGGUCAGCGCAAGCGAAGCUCUUGAUCGAAGCCCCGGUAAACGGCGGCCGUAACUAUAACGGUCCUAAGGUAGCGAAAUUCCUUGUCGGGUAAGUUCCGACCUGCACGAAUGGCGUAAUGAUGGCCAGGCUGUCUCCACCCGAGACUCAGUGAAAUUGAACUCGCUGUGAAGAUGCAGUGUACCCGCGGCAAGACGGAAAGACCCCGUGAACCUUUACUAUAGCUUGACACUGAACAUUGAGCCUUGAUGUGUAGGAUAGGUGGGAGGCUUAGAAGUGUGGACGCCAGUCUGCAUGGAGCCGACCUUGAAAUACCACCCUUUAAUGUUUGAUGUUCUAACGUUGACCCGUAAUCCGGGUUGCGGACAGUGUCUGGUGGGUAGUUUGACUGGGGCGGUCUCCUCCUAAAGAGUAACGGAGGAGCACGAAGGUUGGCUAAUCCUGGUCGGACAUCAGGAGGUUAGUGCAAUGGCAUAAGCCAGCUUGACUGCGAGCGUGACGGCGCGAGCAGGUGCGAAAGCAGGUCAUAGUGAUCCGGUGGUUCUGAAUGGAAGGGCCAUCGCUCAACGGAUAAAAGGUACUCCGGGGAUAACAGGCUGAUACCGCCCAAGAGUUCAUAUCGACGGCGGUGUUUGGCACCUCGAUGUCGGCUCAUCACAUCCUGGGGCUGAAGUAGGUCCCAAGGGUAUGGCUGUUCGCCAUUUAAAGUGGUACGCGAGCUGGGUUUAGAACGUCGUGAGACAGUUCGGUCCCUAUCUGCCGUGGGCGCUGGAGAACUGAGGGGGGCUGCUCCUAGUACGAGAGGACCGGAGUGGACGCAUCACUGGUGUUCGGGUUGUCAUGCCAAUGGCACUGCCCGGUAGCUAAAUGCGGAAGAGAUAAGUGCUGAAAGCAUCUAAGCACGAAACUUGCCCCGAGAUGAGUUCUCCCUGACUCCUUGA
RNAcentral lists this ribosomal RNA (2789 nucleotides) under Escherichia coli. RNAcentral's name for it is "bacterial LSU rRNA". It matches the Rfam family "Bacterial large subunit ribosomal RNA". The record is from RNAcentral. Lineage: Bacteria; Pseudomonadati; Pseudomonadota; Gammaproteobacteria; Enterobacterales; Enterobacteriaceae.